AGAACUGUCUCAUUAAAUAUUUGUUCUCACAUGCGCACACCCUAUAAAAUAGAACCCUAAGGAUCCAUUCUUUCUUCAGUUUUCUCCAACCAAGAAAAGCUAGCUCUAAGCCACGGGUAAUUGAUGAUUCGAUCAUGAAGACGAAGACCACCACCUUCUUCCUUGUACUCUUUGCAACCCUACUUCUGACCCUUGGACCUCUUCAAGCCGAUGCAGAAAAAGCAAACUACCGUCGGCUCCUAAGCGACGGCUGGAAUUAUGAUGCUGGUGAAUCAUCCGAUCAAAGCAGCCACCACCAGACCACUAGUACUGACCCACCAGAUACAUGGGUGCGGAAAAGAGAAAGCCAAGGUCACCCAUUCCCCUAAUAUCAGAACCAAGCUUGAUGCUGAAGAGGGUACUUAUGCAAUGUUAUCUUAUUUGUCCGAUGGUCCUUAGUCCUGACCAAUCGUUCCAUGGUACACCCAUGUGGUUGGCCUAUAGAAACGUAUGGUACUGAGAUAUGAUAAGCUUGUGUGUGACUUGUUUGGUCUGUGUGAUGCUUGGCCUGGCUUGUAGUCCAAGUACUAUCAUGCUUUGUAAGAUACUAAAUAGAAAUCUUAAAUAAAAUGACCAUGCCUGGCUUGAUGGAAGCAUGGUUCUUGUGUGGACUUA
Rhododendron vialii is the source of this 654-nucleotide long non-coding RNA. RefSeq lists it as uncharacterized. The record is from RefSeq and is a predicted model, not a curated record. The transcript is spliced from 2 exons. NCBI's taxonomy places the organism in Eukaryota, Viridiplantae, Streptophyta, Magnoliopsida, Ericales, Ericaceae.